UCAUCACCCGAUCUCACCCUCGGCUCUCCUCACGAUUCACGGGACAGCAACCUCCCGUUCCCCAUUCUCUCCCACGACAAACCCUAGCCGCCGGCCGCCGCUGUGGCCCGAUGCCACUCUCCCCGUGAGACCGUGAUGACGGCCGCACCAAGGUGCCGCACGCCCUGAUCGAUGAAUCCCGACGCCCCGAGCCGCCCUCAGGACCGGUGACGACCACGACCAGCAUCCAAGCCAUCAACCGCCGUGCCCCGUGCAUCACGCUAUGCGUCGCUCCAUUGCUUGUGACGCGGCCAUCCAUCCCCGACCACCAUCUAAGCUGGAGUUCUUCACCAUCUUGUCCUCUUCCAUGCUGGUCGCCGGCUGGCCGCCUACUGUCCUUUUCAGUGCUCCACCUCGCAUCUAAAGAUUUUGUUCAGAUGUUCAUGUUCUUGGUGUACAAUUUUUGUGAUGGUUAAAACUCAGCAAGAAGGCAUGCUCCUCCGUCUUAGGAUUUCAUCAUUCCACAAAGCCACGUCCGCGUCAUUGCAUAGCGGAGGUCUGAGAUUCGUAUGCCCUUGAUUGCUGAGAUGUGGCCGGCGAUUGAGAACCUAGAAGAGUCCAUCAGCAUAUGUCGCCGAACGAUGGCUGGGCAGUUGUAGUCAUUGGCAGUGAGGAGCAUCGGUAAUGGCUGGCUGCUGCUGCACUCGACAUUGAUGUUCAGGUGGAUAUGCAAGUAUAAUGUACGCACAUGAUCAAUCUAUGUCCACAUCGUCAACAUUAUAAGCAUUAGUGGACCGUAUAUGCAUUUGCAUGAUUGAGCCAUCUCAGCUAAGCAAUGAAGCAAAAGUUCAUGUGCUCAUUGCUAAGCCGCUUGCAGACUUGAGUAUGAAAAGCAACUGAUCGUCAACUACCUGCAGAAUGUACUGCACCCGCGAGGAAUAUACUGGCCGUCUCGAUGUUUGGUAGCAGUCCAGGGCGGCUGCUGUUUCAGUUGGUAGUAGGGGUGCUGUCAGCAGUAUAUAUAGUGCUGAUUUUCUAUUUUAAGAUCUUCAUGUGAAUCUUGUUGCUGGUGAAGUGGUGAUUAUAUAUACUUCUGAUUUUCUUUUUAAGAUUUUCAUGUGUUGUACUGUUUUC
Long non-coding RNA from Triticum aestivum (bread wheat), 1113 nucleotides. RefSeq lists it as uncharacterized. NCBI's taxonomy places the organism in Eukaryota, Viridiplantae, Streptophyta, Magnoliopsida, Poales, Poaceae. The transcript is spliced from 2 exons. The record is from RefSeq and is a predicted model, not a curated record.